GAGGGAUUGGGGGCGUGCUAUACAUGCAGUCGAGCGAAUGGAUUAAGAGCUUGCUCUUAUGAAGUUAGCGGCGGACGGGUGAGUAACACGUGGGUAACCUGCCCAUAAGACUGGGAUAACUCCGGGAAACCGGGGCUAAUACCGGAUAACAUUUUGAACCGCAUGGUUCGAAAUUGAAAGGCGGCUUCGGCUGUCACUUAUGGAUGGACCCGCGUCGCAUUAGCUAGUUGGUGAGGUAACGGCUCACAUAAGGGCAACCGAAGUGCGUAGCCGACCUGAGAGGGGGAUCGGCCACACUGGGACUGAGACACGGCCCAGACUCCUACCGGAGGCCAGCAGUAGGGAAUCUUCCGCAAUGGACGAAAGUUCUGACGGAGCAACGCCGCGUGGAGUGAUGAAGGCUUUCGGGUCGUAAAACUCUGUUGUUAGGGAAGAACAAGUGCUAGCUGAAUAAUGCUGGCACCUUGACGGUACCCUAACCAGAAAGCCACGGCUAACUACGUGCCAGCAGCCGCGGUAAUACGUAGGUGGCAAGCGUUAUCCGGAAAUAUUGGGCGUAAAGCGCGCGCAGGUGGUUUCUUAAGUCUGAUGUGAAAGCCCACGGCUCAACCCGUGGAGGGUCAUUGGAAACUGGGAGACUUGAGUGCAGAAGAGGAAAGUGGAAUUCCAUGUGUAGCGGUGAAAUGCGUAGAGAUAUGGAGGAACACCAGUGGCGAAGGCGACUCUCUGGUCUGUAACUGACACUGAGGCGCGAAAGCGUGGGGAGCAAACAGGAUUAGAUACCCUGGUAGUCCACGCCGUAAACGAUGAGUGCUAAGUGUUAGAGGGUUUCCGCCCUUUAGUGCUGAAGUUAACGCAUUAAGCACUCCGCCUGGGGAGUACGGCCGCAAGGCUGAAACUCAAAGGAAUUGACGGGGGCCCGCACAAGCGGUGGAGCAUGUGAUUUAAUUCGAAGCAACGCGAAGAACCUUUACCAGGUCUUGACAUCCUCUGAAAACCCUAGAGAUAGGGCUUCUCCUUCGGGAGCAGAGUGACAGGUGGUGCAUGAUUGUCGUCAGCUCGUGUCGUGAGAUGUUGGAUUAAGUCCCGCAACGAGCGCAACCCUUGAAUCUAGUUGCCAUCAUUAAGUUGGGCACUCUAAGGUGACUGCCGGUGAACAAACCGGAGGAAGGUGGGGAUGACGUCAAAUCAUCAUGCCCCUUAUGACCUGGGCUACACACGUGCUACAAUGGAAGCGUACUCAAAGAGCUGCAAGACCGCGAGGUGGAGCUAAUCUCAUAAAACCGUUCUCAGUUCGGAUUGUAGGCUGCAACUCGCCUACAUGAAGCUGGAAUCGCUAGUAAUCGCGGAUCAGCAUGCCGCGGUGAAUACGUUCCCGGGCCUUGUACACACCGCCCGUCACACCACGAGAGUUUGUAACACCCGAAGUCGGUGGGGUAACCUUUUGGAGCCAGCCGCCUAAGGUGACAGGAUGUG
Molecule: ribosomal RNA, 1476 nt
Filed under: Bacillus sp. (in: firmicutes)
Lineage: Bacteria; Bacillati; Bacillota; Bacilli; Caryophanales; Bacillaceae
Description: bacterial SSU rRNA
Rfam family: Bacterial small subunit ribosomal RNA
Source: RNAcentral